GCAGGUUCGGGUCGAACGCAGUGAGACAACGGAGCCGCUUGCGGCGACGGCCCGAAGGGCGAGCGAAGCGAGUCAUCCUGCACGACCCACCA
This 92-nucleotide small RNA is filed under the name Salmonella enterica subsp. enterica serovar Derby. RNAcentral describes it as "partial RtT sRNA". It matches the Rfam family "RtT RNA", at positions 37 to 130 of the family's 130-position model. Rfam says of the family: This family represents a bacterial cis-regulatory element known as RtT RNA. The exact function of RtT is unknown although it is thought that it may be involved in changing the cellular response in relation to amino acid starvation. RNAcentral also lists the same sequence under 1 other name. Lineage: Bacteria; Pseudomonadati; Pseudomonadota; Gammaproteobacteria; Enterobacterales; Enterobacteriaceae. The record is from RNAcentral.